CCUACGGGAGGCAGCAGUGGGGAAUAUUGCACAAUGGGGGAAACCCUGAUGCAGCGACGCCGCGUGAGUGAAGAAGGACUUCGGUAUGUAAAGCUCUAUCAGCGGGGAAGAAAAUGACGGUACCUGAGUAAGAAGCCCCGGCUAACUACGUGCCAGCAGCCGCGGUAAUACGUAGGGGGCAAGCGUUAUCCGGAUUUACUGGGGGGAAAGUGAGCGUAGACGGCAGUGUAAGUCUGGAGUGAAAGGCGGGGGCUCAACCCACGGACUGCUCUGGAAACUGGACGGCUGGAGUGCAGGAGAGGUAAGUGGAAUUCCUAGUGUAGCGGUGAAAUGCGUAGAUAUUAGGAGGAACACCAGUGGCGAAGGCGGCUUACUGGACUGUAACUGACGUUGAGGCGCGAAAGCGUGGGGAGCAAACAGGAUUAGAUACCCGAGUAGUC
RNAcentral lists this ribosomal RNA (440 nucleotides) under uncultured bacterium. RNAcentral's name for it is "partial 16S ribosomal RNA". It matches the Rfam family "Bacterial small subunit ribosomal RNA", at positions 338 to 795 of the family's 1533-position model. The record is from RNAcentral.